RNAcentral lists this ribosomal RNA (606 nucleotides) under Salmonella enterica. RNAcentral's name for it is "partial 23S ribosomal RNA". It matches the Rfam family "Bacterial large subunit ribosomal RNA", at positions 583 to 1190 of the family's 2925-position model. Lineage: Bacteria; Pseudomonadati; Pseudomonadota; Gammaproteobacteria; Enterobacterales; Enterobacteriaceae. The record is from RNAcentral.
CCUUUGGGGUGUGACUGCGUACCUUUUGUAUAAUGGGUCAGCGACUUAUAUUCUGUAGCAAGGUUAACCGAAUAGGGGAGCCGGAGGGAAACCGAGUCUUAAUUGGGCGUUAAGUUGCAGGGUAUAGACCCGAAACCCGGUGAUCUAGCCAUGGGCAGGUUGAAGGUUGGGUAACACUAACUGGAGGACCGAACCGACUAAUGUUGAAAAAUUAGCGGAUGACCUGUGGCUGGGGGUGAAAGGCCAAUCAAACCGGGAGAUAGCUGGUUCUCCCCGAAAGCUAUUUAGGUAGCGCCUCGUGAAUUCAUCUCCGGGGGUAGAGCACUGUUUCGGCUAGGGGGCCAUCCCGGCUUACCAACCCGAUGCAAACUGCGAAUACCGGAGAAUGUUAUCACGGGAGACACACGGCGGGUGCUAACGUCCGUCGUGAAGAGGGAAACAACCCAGACCGCCAGCUAAGGUCCCAAAGUCAUGGUUAAGUGGGAAACGAUGUGGGAAGGCCCAGACAGCCAGGAUGUUGGCUUAGAAGCAGCCAUCAUUUAAAGAAAGCGUAAUAGCUCACUGGUCGAGUCGGCCUGCGCGGAAGAUGUAACGGGGCUAAACCAU